Molecule: ribosomal RNA, 874 nt
Filed under: Ceratocystis fimbriata
Lineage: Eukaryota; Fungi; Ascomycota; Sordariomycetes; Microascales; Ceratocystidaceae
Description: LSU rRNA
Rfam family: Eukaryotic large subunit ribosomal RNA
Source: RNAcentral
AGGAUGCUUUUGGUGAGGUGCCUUCCGAGUUCCCUGGAACGGGACGCCAUAGAGGGUGAGAGCCCCGUACGGUUGGAUACCAAACCCUCUGUAUAGCUCCUUCAACGAGUCGAGUAGUUUGGGAAUGCUGCUCUAAAUGGGAGGUAUAUCUCUUCUAAAGCUAAAUAUAGGCUAGAGACCGAUAGCGCACAAGUAGAGUGAUCGAAAGAUGAAAAGCACUUUGAAAAGAGAGUUAAACAGCACGUGAAAUUGUUGAAAGGGAAGCGCCUAUGACCAGACUUGUUUCUGGCAGUUUCGUUAGCCUUCGGGCUGAUUUACUCUGUCCAGUACAGGCCAGCAUCAGUUUGUUGUCGGGGAGAAAGGCUCUGGGAACGUAGCUCCCCCCUUCUGGGGGGAGUGUUAUAGCCCUCUGCAUAAUACCCUUCGGCAGACUGAGGACCGCGCUUCGGCAAGGAUGCUGGCGUAAUGGCACAGAGGCCCGUCUUGAAACACGGACCAAGGAGUCAACCUUAUGUGCGAGUGUUUGGGUGUAAAACCCCAGCGCGUAAUGAAAGUGAACGUAGGUGAGAGCUUCGGCGCAUCAUCGACCGAUUCUGAUGUUUUCGGAUGGAUUUGAGUAAGAGCACACAGGGUUGGACCCGAAAGAAGGUGAACUAUGCUUGUAUAGGGUGAAGCCAGAGGAAACUCUGGUGGAGGCUCGCAGCGGUUCUGACGUGCAAAUCGAUCGUCAAAUAUGAGCAUGGGGGCGAAAGACUAAUCGAACCUUCUAGUAGCUGGUUCCAGCCGAAGUUUCCCUCAGGAUAGCAGUGUUGAAUUUUCUUCAGUUUUAUGAGGUAAAGCGAAUGAUUAGGGACUCGGGGGCGCUAUAUUGCCU